AUUGAACGCUGGCGGCAGGCCUAACACAUGCAAGUCGAGCGAGCGGCGGACGGGUGAGUAAUGUGUGGGAAACUGCCCGAUGGAGGGGGAUAACUCCUCGAAACGGUAGCUAAUACCGCAUAUCAUCAGAUGUGCCCAGAUGGGAUUAGAUGGUAGGUGGGGUAACGGCUCACCCAGGCGACGAGCCCUAGCUGGUCUGAGAGGAUGACCAGCCACACUGGAACUGAGACACGGUCCAGACUCCUACGGGAGGCAGCAGUGGGGAAUAUUGCACAAUGGGCGCAAGCCUGAUGCAGCCAUGCCGCGUGUGUGAAGAAGGCCUUCGGGUUGUAAAGCACUUUCAGCGGGGAGGCGUUACCCGCAGAAGAAGCACCGGCUAACUCCGUGCCAGCAGCCGCGGUAAUUC
RNAcentral lists this ribosomal RNA (406 nucleotides) under uncultured bacterium. RNAcentral describes it as "partial 16S ribosomal RNA". It matches the Rfam family "Bacterial small subunit ribosomal RNA", at positions 30 to 526 of the family's 1533-position model. The record is from RNAcentral.